GUAUUGUAUUGCGUUAGACGCGGCAUACAUUCCAUAAGACUUUGUUACAGCGUGUGUGUAAAGACGCAGAACCACGGCAGGAAGACGGGGUCCCCCAGACCAUAGAACUACGGAGGGUGCACAGGUGUGAGUGGAUGUGUAAACAGAGCGUGCACAUGUCCCCGUUUGAGGACCAGCAACAACCCGUUUGACAAUUCGGUAAUGAUCCUUCCGCAGGUUCACCUACGGAAA
RNAcentral lists this unclassified non-coding RNA (231 nucleotides) under uncultured fungus. Its description in RNAcentral is "sequence contains ITS1". Lineage: Eukaryota; Fungi. The record is from RNAcentral.